Molecule: non-coding RNA, 768 nt
Filed under: Histeridae sp. BMNH 1274741
Lineage: Eukaryota; Metazoa; Arthropoda; Insecta; Coleoptera; Histeridae
Source: RNAcentral
UUAAAGUUUUAUUCUAGCUUAUUUAGUCAAUAAAGUAUUUUUAUACAUGUAAGGUUUAGCGUGGAUUUAAUCUCUUAAAUAGUUUUUUAAUUUAGUCGCAGUGUUUAAUAUUAAUAAUAAGUUUAUGCUUGAAUUAGGAAUUUCUUAAAGUAGUAACAAAACUUGUGCCAGCAGUUGCGGUUACACAAGUAUUACAAUUGAAUUUUUUAUAAUAAAAAUAAGUGAUUAAUAUGAAUUAUUUUUAUUCAUAAUUUUUAGGUGAAAUUUAAAUUUUGAAUUAGAUGAUUUUUUCAGUAUUUUGAAACCAUUUUAUAAACUAGGAUUAGAUACCCUAUUAUUAUUUGGUGUAAAUUUUAUAUUAGAUUAGUAUUAGUUAUGUUCUUGAAAAUUAAAGAUUUUGGCGGUAUCUUAGUCCAUUCAGAGGAGCCUGUCCUGUAAUUGAUACUCCACGAGUUAUAUUACUUUUCCUCCUAGUUUGUAUAUCGUUGUGAUAGGGAAUUUUUUUAAGACAAGAAUUUUCGUGAUUUAUUUUAUAUAAUAUAUCAAAUCAAGGUGCAGCUUAUGGAUAAGUAGAGAUGGGCUACAAUAGUAGUAUUUAAACGGAUAAUAAUAUUUAAAGGAUUUUAGAAGGUGGAUUUGAUAGUAAUUUAAAUUCUAAUAAUUUAAAUGAUUUAGGCUCUAGGAUAUGCACAUAUCGCCCGUCGCUUUCAAUUAAGUUGAAAUAAGUCGUAACAAAGUAGGCGUAUUGGAAAAUGUGCCUAGAAUGCA